AUGGCAGUCAAGGAGUAAAAGGAGACAAGGGAGAUACAGGAGCUGGAAAUCUAACACAGUGUGUUGUCAAAAUUUUAGAGUCGAAUGGGACAGCCCCACUUGGCAAUAACGCAUAUGAAUCAGUGUCAGUAAUAGAAGAAACGGGAAAAAAGAUUCUGCAUUUUUCAUGCUCCUCAAAUAACGCAGACAUUGUGGAAAGCAUGGGAAAUAGUAGCAAUAAAAACUAUACCUGUCGAUGCUUAGGACAAGGAAACUAUAAUUAUACGGCAGGAGUUUCUCCUAUUAUACCGGCACCUCCAAAAAUGAUGUGCAUAAUAACUUACACAGAAUGUCCGCUAAUAUCUUAAUAAUGUUUUAAAUGUAUAGUAGAUAGUAGAUUGACCUCAUUCGUUUGCUUCCUAAUGUCUAAUCAACACUAUUUAUUAGUAAUUAGAAAAUUAACUUGUUUCACGGAUUUAGUGCAUUUGCCUAAAAGAAAAAAAAAACACAACGCAAAUAAAAAACCGUUAAUCAUAUUCUUGUUCUACAGAGGAUAUUAAAUAUAAAAAUAUUAUGUCAUGUUCUUUAUCAUAAAGUUUAUAAAGUUGACUCCUUUGA
Long non-coding RNA from Exaiptasia diaphana, 597 nucleotides. RefSeq lists it as uncharacterized. The transcript has 2 exons. Lineage: Eukaryota; Metazoa; Cnidaria; Anthozoa; Actiniaria; Aiptasiidae. The record is from RefSeq and is a predicted model, not a curated record.